UGGUUCGCACGCGGUCGUCGCGAUUCUCCUUUCUUCGAAUUCAAUUCGGUAACUCUUAUUACUUUCGGUGUUCUUAGUGAUUAUUGCUGACUGUUGUGUCUCGUUAAUGAGUUAUCGCUUAUAAGAUGUUCGCGAAAUGCCGUUUACGAUUAAAGGUUUACUGUACUAACCACAUUGGCCGUGCCUUGGAGUCCCAUGAGUUCUGCAUUGUGCAUUCCUUGACUACCCGAUGCAGGGGUAAGUUUGUAAAUAUUAAUCCAUCAUUAUUACAUUUUGCUUUUUAAUCGCGUGUAGUGAAACUAUCGUUAUAGUUUAAAAUUGUCACUAGCCGUCGGAUACAUUUUUGGCCUCGUUGCAGAAAGUUGGUUUUACUAAAUCCAUUCAUCUCACAUUUUUCUGCAAUCUUUAUUCUGUAAUCGCGUUGAUACGUCUAGUAGUUUGACAAUUUAUUACUGUCCGUAAAAUGUAUAUAAUACGCGAUUUUAAUGUUUCCUUUAGAGCAUGGCUGGCCAAUUGCAGACCCGCGGGCCACAAAGUGGCCCGCCAGGAUAUUUGAAUUUGCCCGCCGCAAAACCCAAAGUUGGAACUUUCGUAUGUUUAUAAUAUUUUAUAUAUGAAUGGCCAUAGUCUGUGGCCCGGUGCCGCUGCAAUCUAAAGAUUUUGCCCUCCAGGAAAAUCCAUUGGCCAGCCUUGCUUUAGAGUGUGCGUGCUGACGGCCGGCACUUUGUCUGGAUAUUGCGUCGAAAAUAUAAUCUCAAUAUUGCAGUAAUAUUUAUAAUAGUGUCACCUUCUUCAUUGUUACUUUCUCUUCCUUUAUUUUUAUGCCAUCCCGGGAGAAACAGGUAGCAACUUAAAUUUUCUUGUAGUUUUCUUCUAGUGCUUUAGUAUAUACUUCUAAAUGUAGUGGUAUUGUUGUUGUGUUGCCUUCUCUUGCAUUUUCCUUCACUUUCCAUUGUGAAAAUUGUAACAUUUUUAUUUGACUAAUGUUAUCCUUCGAGAAUUUUGAGUUUUGUUAUUAUAUAUAAUGAUUUUCUUCUUGUAUCACCCUAUAUGUUACAUUUUCCUGCUCCCUUACCAAAACCUUGUAAGUUGAUGAUAUUUUUUUCUUGACCAGACCAUUUUCUUUUUAAAUAUUGUCAUUUUCUUUUGAGAACACCCUAUAUAUUUGUUUUCCUAUUUCCCAUCAAUACUUCACCAAUUUUUUGUUUUCAACUGUUUUCUUCCUUAAACUGUAAAUUUUCUUUUUG
Molecule: long non-coding RNA, 1247 nt
Organism: Dalotia coriaria
Lineage: Eukaryota; Metazoa; Arthropoda; Insecta; Coleoptera; Staphylinidae
Exons: 3
Source: RefSeq, a predicted model, not a curated record